Molecule: ribosomal RNA, 406 nt
Filed under: uncultured bacterium
Lineage: Bacteria
Description: bacterial SSU rRNA
Rfam family: Bacterial small subunit ribosomal RNA
Source: RNAcentral
GAGUUUGAUCAUGGCUCAGGACGAACGCUGGCGGCGUGCCUAACACAUGCAAGUCGAACGGACGAGGCCCCUUCGGGGACCGAGUUAGUGGCGAACGGGUGAGUAACGCGUGAGGAACCUGCCUUUCAGAGGGGGACAACAGUUGGAAACGACUGCUAAUACCGCAUGACACACGGAUACCGCAUGGUAACCGUGUCAAAGAUUUAUCGCUGAAAGAUGGCCUCGCGUCUGAUUAGCUAGUUGGUGGGUAACGCCCACCAAGGCGACGAUCAGUAGCCGGUCUGAGAGGAUGAACGGCCACAUUGGGACUGAGAUACGGCCCAGACUCCUACGGGAGGCAGCAGUGGGGAAUAUUGGGCAAUGGGGGAAACCCUGACCCAGCAACGCCGCGUGAAGGAAGAAGGCU